UAUGAUGUCCACACACCUAGUUACAAUGAC
This 30-nucleotide non-coding RNA is filed under the name Homo sapiens (human). Lineage: Eukaryota; Metazoa; Chordata; Mammalia; Primates; Hominidae. The record is from RNAcentral.